UCCUCGGUAGCUCAGCGGUAGAGCGGUCGGCUGUUAACCGAUUGGUCGUAGGUUCGAAUCCUAUCCGGGGAG
RNAcentral lists this transfer RNA (72 nucleotides) under Asplenium nidus (bird's-nest fern). RNAcentral's name for it is "tRNA-Asn". It matches the Rfam family "tRNA". From Rfam's summary of the family: Transfer RNA (tRNA) molecules are approximately 80 nucleotides in length. Their secondary structure includes four short double-helical elements and three loops (D, anti-codon, and T loops). Lineage: Eukaryota; Viridiplantae; Streptophyta; Polypodiopsida; Polypodiales; Aspleniaceae. The record is from RNAcentral. RNAcentral also lists the same sequence under 12 other names.